UAGGGAAUCUUGGACAAUGGGGGCAACCCUGAUCCAGCCAUGCCGCGUGAGUGACGAAGGCCUUCGGGUUGUAAAGCUCUUUUGCCGGGGACGAUAAUGACGGUACCCGGAGAAUAAGUCCCGGCUAACUUCGUGCCAGCAGCCGCGGUAAUACGAAGGGGACUAGCGUUGUUCGGAAUUACUGGGCGUAAAGCGCACGUAGGCGGGAUGGCCAGUCAGAGGUGAAAUCCCAGAGCUCAACUCUGGAACUGCCUUUGAUACAGCCAUUCUUGAGUCCGAUAGAGGUGAGUGGAAUUCCUAGUGUAGAGGUGAAAUUCGUAGAUAUUAGGAAGAACACCAGUGGCGAAGGCGGCUCACUGGAUCGGUACUGACGCUGAGGUGCGAAAGCGUGGGGAGCAAACAGG
This 404-nucleotide ribosomal RNA is filed under the name uncultured bacterium. Its description in RNAcentral is "bacterial SSU rRNA". It matches the Rfam family "Bacterial small subunit ribosomal RNA", at positions 355 to 776 of the family's 1533-position model. The record is from RNAcentral.